Halichondria panicea is the source of this 1325-nucleotide long non-coding RNA. RefSeq lists it as uncharacterized. The transcript is spliced from 2 exons. The record is from RefSeq and is a predicted model, not a curated record. NCBI's taxonomy places the organism in Eukaryota, Metazoa, Porifera, Demospongiae, Suberitida, Halichondriidae.
UAUGACAGUAAACCUCCCGACUACGAGGGCGUAAAGCCCGAGGGGGAGGUGUGGUUUACUGUCAUAAACCCCGAGGCACUGUGCAUUAAUUGAUAUAAUAAUUAUGUCCCAUCUGAUUGGCUGACUGGUUGCUAUGCAUCAAGCUGCAUGACUACCACAUAGCAAAACUAUUCAAACAAGAAGACAACUAGGAAAAGAUAGCUCGUUCACACCAGGGCUGCUGUCCACACUCAAAUCCUUGCGCAGCCUGGAGAAUAUGAGCAGCCAGCCCCUCCCUCAAAGCGAACGGUACAGAGCCACUCCCCCUCUCUGUUCAAUUAGUCAGCCCCUCCCUCCACUUACUGCGCAGCAACCAGCCAGAAGAAACAACACAGCUAGCUCUAGCCUAGCCUCGAUCCCAGGCCGAGUUUUCGCUUUUAUAACGGUUAGGCGAACAACUGGGCCUGGUACUAGUUGUCUGCGCAUGCGUCAGUUGUUUGUCAGAUUUUCUGACAAAUGGAUAUUCUUGUUCACUUUCGUGACAUUUAUAUUCGUGUACUAUCGUGUACUAGAAGUCAGUUCCCGUUUUAUCAUUAUUGGAAUCGAUUGGAAUGGCUCUUAGCUGAAGCUUCUCUCUUCUCUGAAGCUUAUUCUGAAGACUGAACAACAAGGGAAGAGGUAUAAAGCUUUGUCAAGCUUGUUAAGGUCAGAUAUUUUUGUUUGGGCCCUAUGGCCGGCUAUGCUAUCAAGUCUUGUUCAUGUUUGGCAAGAAUGUAGGUAGACUAUAGUUUCAUCAUUAAUAUGGUGGAUCAAGUGAAGAGUUUGAGCUAGAGAACUUGGUGCUGCCAUCAUCAGCUCGUCGACAAUGACACUAUAACCGAGAAAUUUAAUAUGUAUAGAUCUACACGUAUUUAAAAUGUCUACUUCUCUGUACAGGAGCAAUGGCUAAUAUCCAGCUAUCCCAACAGUGCUCCUCUUGGCUAUACUAACGGACGAGACUGGACAGUUUGAGACACAGGACUGGAGUAUGACCUGCUCAUUCGAGCGUUGCUGGGUAGCUCAGAGACAUCAAGAGAAUCUACGUUUUCUCAAGCAAUGAGUUAUGAGUUGGGGCCUAGAAUCAGAGAAGUCCAGCAGCCUGCUAAAUCUUUUUGAAACGUAAUUUGAAGGCAUUCAAUCAUCUUGAAGUUGCCCUGGGUCACUGUAAUUGUGCUGCAGCACAACUGGCAACUCCCCAGGCCUUUGUGAAGCAGCUCCCUAUGUGCAUCUUUUGUGUACUCACUCUGUGCAUUUUCUGUGUACAAAUUUCUAUUAUUGAUUUAUUAAAUAUUUUUGCCGACCACAAA